RNAcentral lists this ribozyme (60 nucleotides) under unclassified sequences. RNAcentral describes it as "pistol ribozyme". It matches the Rfam family "Pistol ribozyme". The record is from RNAcentral.
AGUCGUCUGAGCGACUCUAAAUAGCCUCUUAGGCUCAGAGCGUUAGGCCGCUAAGAGACC